This 227-nucleotide ribosomal RNA is filed under the name uncultured fungus. RNAcentral describes it as "partial 18S ribosomal RNA". It matches the Rfam family "Eukaryotic small subunit ribosomal RNA", at positions 1044 to 1273 of the family's 1831-position model. The record is from RNAcentral. Lineage: Eukaryota; Fungi.
AAUUGGGAUUAGCGCAGGAUUUUUAAUGACUGCGUUAGCACCCGAAGAGAAAUCUUUAAAUGAGGUUCGGGGGGGAGUAUGGUCGCAAGGCUGAAACUUAAAGGAAUUGACGGAAGGGCACCACCAGGUGUGGAGCCUGCGGCUUAAUUUGACUCAACACGGGGAAACUCACCAGGUCCAGACACAAUAAGGAUUGACAGAUUGAUAGCUCUUUCUUGAUCUUGUGG